Molecule: ribosomal RNA, 467 nt
Filed under: uncultured bacterium
Lineage: Bacteria
Description: partial 16S ribosomal RNA
Rfam family: Bacterial small subunit ribosomal RNA
Source: RNAcentral
GACGAACGCUGGCGGCGUGCUUAACACAUGCAAGUCGAACGGAAAGGCCCUGCUUUUGUGGGGUGCUCGAGUGGCGAAAGGGUGAGUAACACGUGAGUAACCUGCCCUUGACUUUGGGAUAACUUCAGGAAACUGGGGCUAAUACCGGAUAGGAUCUCCUGCUGCAUGGUGGGGGUUGGAAAGUUUCGGCGGUUGGGGAUGGACUCGCGGCUUAUCAGCUUGUUGGUGGGGUAGUGGCUUACCAAGGCUUUGACGGGUAGCCGGCCUGAGAGGGUGACCGGCCACAUUGGGACUGGGAUACGGCCCAGACUCCUACGGGAGGCAGCAGUGGGGAAUAUUGCACAAUGGGCGGAAGCCGGCUGCAGCAACGCCGCGUGCGGAAUGACGGCCUUCGGGUUGUAAACCGCUUUCGCCUGUGACGAAGCGUGAGUGACGGUAAUGGGUAAAGAGGCACCGGCUAACUACGU